RNAcentral lists this non-coding RNA (93 nucleotides) under bovine gut metagenome. RNAcentral's name for it is "THF riboswitch". It matches the Rfam family "THF (Tetrahydrofolate) riboswitch aptamer". From Rfam's summary of the family: THF riboswitch presents a pseudoknot that joins P1-P2 and the loop of P3 and two THF binding. The record is from RNAcentral.
CAGAGUAGGCAUCGUGCAUAAAGUGCCGCGGGAUGGGAAGUCGCCCGCGGACGAAAAACCCUCGAGGUUUGUGACACUGUGCCGCGUCCGCUG